GGUGAACGCUGACAGAAUGCUUAACACAUGCAAGUCGAGGGGCAGCAUUAUCUUAGCUUGCUAAGAUAGAUGGCGACCGGCGCACGGGUGAGUAACACGUAUCCAACCUUCCGGUUACUCGGGGAUAGGCUUUCGAAAGAAAGAUUAGUACCCGAUGUUGCGUAUCUUUCUCCUGAAAGAUACGCCAAAGGAUUCCGGUACCCGAUGGGGAUGCGUUCCAUUAGGCAGUUGGCGGGGUAACGGCCCACCAAACCUUCGAUGGAUAGGGGUUCUGAGAGGAAGGUCCCCCACAUUGGAACUGAGACACGGUCCAG
This 314-nucleotide ribosomal RNA is filed under the name uncultured bacterium. RNAcentral's name for it is "bacterial SSU rRNA". It matches the Rfam family "Bacterial small subunit ribosomal RNA", at positions 28 to 334 of the family's 1533-position model. The record is from RNAcentral.